CAAUAGCGUAUAUUAAAGUUGUUGCAGUUAAAAAGCUCGUAGUUGGAUUUCUGGUAGGAGCGACCGUGCCGAACUUGAUUGUUCGAGUACUGUGUUGUCUUCAGCCAUCCUCGUGGAGAACUUUUCUAACAUUAACUUGUUGGGAUUGGGACCCGCGUCGUUUACUGUGAAAAAAUUAGAGUGUUUAAAGCAGGCAUUAGCUUGAAUACAUUAGCAUGGAAUAAUAAGAUAGGACUUUGGUACUAUUUUGUUGGUUUGCAUACCAAAUUAAUGAUCAACAGGAACAGUUUGAGGAUAUUCGUAUGAACAUGUCAGAGGUGAAAUUCUUGGAUUUUGAUCAGACGAACUACUGCGAAAGCAUUUAUCAAGGAUGUUUUCAUUAA
Molecule: ribosomal RNA, 383 nt
Filed under: uncultured eukaryote
Lineage: Eukaryota
Description: partial 18S ribosomal RNA
Rfam family: Eukaryotic small subunit ribosomal RNA
Source: RNAcentral